GGUGCCAUGGCCGAGAGGCGAGGCGACGGCCUGCAAAGCCGUAGACGCCGGUUCGAUUCCGGCUGGCAUCUCCA
RNAcentral lists this transfer RNA (74 nucleotides) under Microbacterium hominis. Its description in RNAcentral is "tRNA-Cys". It matches the Rfam family "tRNA". From Rfam's summary of the family: Transfer RNA (tRNA) molecules are approximately 80 nucleotides in length. Their secondary structure includes four short double-helical elements and three loops (D, anti-codon, and T loops). The record is from RNAcentral. Lineage: Bacteria; Bacillati; Actinomycetota; Actinomycetes; Micrococcales; Microbacteriaceae. RNAcentral also lists the same sequence under 1 other name.